This is a long non-coding RNA of Pseudoliparis swirei, 819 nucleotides long. RefSeq lists it as uncharacterized. The record is from RefSeq and is a predicted model, not a curated record. Lineage: Eukaryota; Metazoa; Chordata; Actinopteri; Perciformes; Liparidae. The transcript has 2 exons.
CAAGUUCUGUGCCCCCGUGUAUAAAUGUAUAUAUCCGUCUUUUGUCAUAAAUCUUUAUGUUCUCACAAAAAUAUACAGAGAAUAUCGGUAAUAUGUGAUUAAUGAUUAAUCCACAGAAACCUGUGAUUAACCUGAUUACAAUUUUUUAUCGUUUCACAGCCCUAAUAUUAAUUUAAUAUAACUUCUGAAUCACGGGCUGUGUCUACUACCGCGCACUUAACGAAGUACACUGCAAUGCGUCGCUGAUGAGUCUGUCUCAAAUGGAACACUUACGUUAACCACUUGGCGGAAGUGACGGACGCAAAUCUGUUCACGGCACCCGCGAAAUUAAGCCGGGAGUGACGUAUGCAAAUCUGCUUGCGACACCCAAACCCUUAAAGUGACCAAAUGAAGCACUUCUUGCCCUCUUGUUGUCCCUUGUUUACCUUUCUCCACCCCAUGUGGAAACUGCGAUACCUCCACAAUCGCGGCAGGAGCCUCCGCCUUCUGGCUGAAGUCGAGAUGGUAUAUCAGCCACCCAGUCCCAGCGGCGCUGCCGUAUCAAUGCUGCAAUGCCACUGCUGGCGUUGUGUUGUGAUGGCCACAGUGACAUGAGGGUGGACUUCAGGCUCACCCGAGAGUCAUUCAAUGCCCUCAUGGCUGUGCUGGGCACUGACUGACCACGGUUGGGGCCCCGAGAUCUCCCGUCUAGUUUUUAUUUUUUGGCUUGCCAGCGCCACCUCCCAUCGGGUGGUGGCCCGGGCCUUCGACAGGCCCCGGACUCAGAGCAUGAUGCCAGGGUCCUGAAUAACAGCCCCAUCUUCUAUGAGCAGGCAUACC